UCAAACGGCUGAACGGGCCCACGUGGCAGUCUGAUUAAAAAAACAAGAACAGAGAGUUAAACCGCAAAACGACAAACACACCAUGACGGGUCUCAGUGAAGUGUGUCACCUCUCAAUUCAGUGGAGCAGUUUAUUACUGACGGCGUAAUUUACUGGUGCAUCUGUCUCUGCAUCAAAUCACGGCGCUGCCCGCGGCGCAUGUGUGUAGUAGCGCUGCCCGCGGCUCCAAUGGUUGAGUCAACCAGGUAGCUCGAAGAUAUCCACGUCAACAAGAGAUAACAAUAAAAGUCGAUUUCCCCAACAGCUAGAACUCUUAGCACACAUGUCCAGAUGUGGGUCCCACCUGGGAAGUAAAUUGUUUUCCCCUCGGCUCUUCUUCUUCGUCCUCAGUCCUCACCGCCAUCCCCUUCUCGGCGUUCCAGCGAGACGUCCGUGGAGGCGCCGCGGCCGCCGGCGUGCCAACGUCCG
RNAcentral lists this long non-coding RNA (468 nucleotides) under Setaria italica (foxtail millet). RNAcentral's name for it is "long non-coding RNA (SITA_LNC000186)". The record is from RNAcentral. Lineage: Eukaryota; Viridiplantae; Streptophyta; Magnoliopsida; Poales; Poaceae.